CGAGAGAGAGGAAGGAAAUUAUAUCGAAUCAAUGGCUGUUCUCGAGGCUGUCACCGCUCUGGCUUUUCUCAUUUUGAAACUUCUCCCGCAGUGUAACUCGAGAAAAAAACCCCCACGAGGGGGACGAGAGCUUCAGCGCGCAGCUGGGCGCAGCUCACGGCAUGGGGACCCCGGAAGAAGGGAGGCAGGGGCUGGUCGACGUAUUGAUCGUGUGGAGGAAGGGGUAAGAAAUAGGAAGUAUGUGGACAGGAGAGGAAAGACGGUCAUGAUCGAGCAAACGCCUUAUCGUGUGAUGCACAGGGAGCACAUCCCAGUCGGAAAUCAGCAAAAGCGGGAACAUCAGAAAAGGCGGUGAUUCAUUGAUGCCUGCUAGCUCGCGGAUUUAGCUUUUUGUACCUCCGGACGUACGAGUGCUUGUAAUUAAUAAGGGUCUCGCACCACAGUGAAGUGGUCUCCGCUUUGCCCGGCCUUGGUUAUUUUCAUCUUUUUAUUAUAUAUAUAUAUAUAAGAUCUCUCGUUUGGAUGGUCUACCCAUCUUGUUCGUUUUUAAGUUAGAGAAGGAAAUAUAUCUGUUGAUUUGCUUGUCGAUUGGUGUGCUUGUAUCUUACAACAUGUAUGCAAUUUUCAAUAAAUGAAAGGUCCGCAUUCUCACUA
Molecule: non-coding RNA, 654 nt
Organism: Elaeis guineensis (African oil palm)
Lineage: Eukaryota; Viridiplantae; Streptophyta; Magnoliopsida; Arecales; Arecaceae
Source: RefSeq, a predicted model, not a curated record